This 577-nucleotide ribosomal RNA is filed under the name uncultured bacterium. RNAcentral's name for it is "partial 16S ribosomal RNA". It matches the Rfam family "Bacterial small subunit ribosomal RNA", at positions 355 to 932 of the family's 1533-position model. The record is from RNAcentral.
UGGGGAAUUUUGGACAAUGGGCGAAAGCCUGAUCCAGCAAUGCCGCGUGUGUGAAGAAGGCCUUCGGGUUGUAAAGCACUUUUGUCCGGAAAGAAAUCCUUGGCUCUAAUACAGUCGGGGGAUGACGGUACCGGAAGAAUAAGCACCGGCUAACUACGUGCCAGCAGCCGCGGCAAUACGUAGGGUGCAAGCGUUAAUCGGAAUUACUGGGCGUAAAGCGUGCGCAGGCGGUUUGCUAAGACCGAUGUGAAAUCCCCGGGCUCAACCUGGGAACUGCAUUGGUGACUGGCAGGCUAGAGUAUGGCAGAGGGGGGUAGAAUUCCACGUGUAGCAGUGAAAUGCGUAGAGAUGUGGAGGAAUACCGAUGGCGAAGGCAGCCCCCUGGGCCAAUACUGACGCUCAUGCACGAAAGCGUGGGGAGCAAACAGGAUUAGAUACCCUGGUAGUCCACGCCCUAAACGAUGUCAACUAGUUGUUGGGAUUCAUUCCUUAGUAACGUAGCUAACGCGUGAAGUUGACCGCCUGGGGAGUACGGUCGCAAGAUUAAAACUCAAAUGAAUUGACGGGGUCAUAGCUG